GCAGCGCAUAAACUAAAAUUGGAACUAUACAGAGAAGAUUAGCAUGGCCCCUGUGCAAGAAUGACAAAAAUUUGUGAAGCAUUCCAUAUUUUU
RNAcentral lists this small nuclear RNA (93 nucleotides) under Urocitellus parryii (Arctic ground squirrel). The record is from RNAcentral. Lineage: Eukaryota; Metazoa; Chordata; Mammalia; Rodentia; Sciuridae.